This 720-nucleotide ribosomal RNA is filed under the name uncultured bacterium. Its description in RNAcentral is "bacterial SSU rRNA". It matches the Rfam family "Bacterial small subunit ribosomal RNA", at positions 388 to 1122 of the family's 1533-position model. The record is from RNAcentral.
GCAGCAACGCCGCGUGCCCGAUGACGGCCUUCGGGUUGUAAAGGGCUUUUCUGAGGGACGAGAAAGGACGGUACCUCAGGAAUAAGGAUCSGYUAACUACGUGCCAGCAGCCGCGGUAACACGUAGGAUUCGAGCGUUAUCCGAAUUUACUGGGCGUAAAGCGCGUGUAGGCGGUUACGCAAGUUGGAUGUGAAAUCUUCCGGCUCAACUGGGAGAGGCCGUCCAAAACUGCGUGGCUAGAGAGCGACAGAGGGAGGUGGAAUUCCCGGUGUAGUGGUGAAAUGCGUAGAUAUCGGGAGGAACACCAGAGGCGAAAGCGGCCUCCUGGGUCGCAUCUGACGCUGAGACGCGAAAGCCAGGGGAGCGAACGGGAUUAGAUACCCCGGUAGUCCUGGCUGUAAACGAUGCAGACUAGGCGUUUGGGAGGUAAAACUCUUGAGUGCCGGAGCUAACGCGAUAAGUCUGCCGCCUGGGAAGUACGGUCGCAAGGCUAAAACUCAAAGGAAUUGGCGGGUCCCCGCACAAGCAGCGGAGCGUGUGGUUUAAUUCGAUGCUACGCGAAGAACCUUACCCGGGUUUGACAUGCUGGUGGUAGAGAAGCGAAAGUGGAUCGACCCUUCGGGGAGCCAGCACAGGUGCUGCAUGGCUGUCGUCAGCUCGUGUCGUGAGAUGUCCGGUUAAGUCCGGUAACGAGCGCAACCCUUGCCGUAUGUUACAAGU